Molecule: ribosomal RNA, 396 nt
Filed under: uncultured bacterium
Lineage: Bacteria
Description: bacterial SSU rRNA
Rfam family: Bacterial small subunit ribosomal RNA
Source: RNAcentral
GACGAACGCUGGCGGCGUGCUUAACACAUGCAAGUCGAGCGGUAAGGCCCUUUCGGGGGUACGACGAGCGGCGAACGGGUGAGUAACACGUGGGUGACCUGCCCUCAGCUCUGGGAUAAGCCUGGGAAACCGGGUCUAAUACCGGAUAUGACUCCAUGACGCAUGUUGUGGGGUGGAAAGCCUUGUGCGGCUGAGGAUGGGCCCGCGGCCUAUCAGCUUGUUGGUGGGGUGANGGCCUACCAAGGCGACGACGGGUAGCCGGCCUGAGAGGGCGACCGGCCACACUGGGACUGAGACACGGCCCGGACUCCUACGGGAGGCAGCAGUGGGGAAUCUUGCGCAAUGGGCGAAGGCCUGACGCAGCGACGCCGCGUGAGGGAUGACGGCCUGUGUAAC